This is a small nuclear RNA of Erinaceus europaeus (western European hedgehog), 107 nucleotides long. Lineage: Eukaryota; Metazoa; Chordata; Mammalia; Eulipotyphla; Erinaceidae. The record is from Ensembl.
GCGCUAGCUUCAGCAGCACAUAUACUAAAAUUGGAAUGAUACAGAGAAGAUUAGCAUGCCUCCUGUGCAAGGAUGCCAUGAAAAUUCAUGAAUCAAUAUAUAUAUAU